UGGGAGCUGUCAUAGUAUCUUGAUCAUGGAAGAAUUGCAUUACAUUUAUUCUUGAUGUUGACAAGAAACAAAAUCUGCGGAGUACAUAUAUAUUAUUCUUCUACCAGUCCGGAUCUUAAUAACUACUUGCUCAAAGAAAAUUACUUUUGUCCCUGAUACAUAUACUUAUUCGUACCUGGAUCACGAUAAUAAAUAAACCCAAUUAUCAACAUUAAGUAUCGUUUCGAUAGUAAUUUCUUUGUUAGUUUUCUUAACACAUUUUGAUGAACUUCACAGAUUGUUACCUUAUUUGGCUUCCCAUAUGACCUUAAAACUUCCAAAGCUCUAAGGAAUAUCUGGUCAAUGUUCCCACCCAAUCUUCUUGCUCUAGCCGUGAGACAGCUUGCAGAUGCGACUAGUACUCCAGAAGAUACUGGAAUUACAUGGAACAGGAGGACAGAUUGUGUAACACGUCAAGAUUCCUCAACCUGUGCAAUGACAAUUGUAAGUCAAUGCCUAAACUUUUUACAAGAAAGGAACAUAUAUUUGAAGCUCAUACCAUGACAAAGUCAAGUUAUUGUUCGUUCUUCCUGUUGUAGAUAAUUUACUUGACCAUUUAAUAGAAAGCUACCUGGCUCCAUCUGCUCUCUACAGAAUAAGGUCUACGCAUGGCUCCUAGGGACAUUUGGUGUCUGGAUCCUCUUGGCAAUCUACUUUGACAAUAUAUUCCCAAAUGCGUAUGGUGUGAGAAAACCUUUAUUUUACUUCCUAAACCCUGGGUACUGGACUGGGAAAGGUGGAAACAAUGUGAAAGGUAACUACAAUAGCUUCCAGUUGUUGCUCAUAGGCUUUCAUGUUGGCGAACUUCCAACUGUGCUGUUUCAUCUAUCCAGAGGGUGGCAUCUGUAGCUGCCAGGGUUCAAUACCACAAGAGGAACAUAUCUCUCCAGAUGAUGAAGAUGUUCUCGAAGAGGAAACAAUGGUUAAGAAAGACGCAACAGGAGGCACAAUGGACGCAGAUGUUGCAGUUCAGAUGCGUGGACUUGCAAAGACAUAUGCUGGAACCAGGAAAAUCGGUUGCUGUAAAUGUCAGAAAACCUCACCUUAUCAUGCCGUUAGGGUAAGACCUUUUAACUCUUACGAACCAACAAAGGUUGAGAAGGUGUAUGCAUCAGUGUCUUUCAAUAUAAUAUAUUUCACCACUGUGCAUUUACAUACAGACAUUUAAUGUGAAAAGUGAAAAUGAUGUAUGGUUCCUGAUAGCAAUUCUGUUUCUCAAGAUUUUGUGGGCACAAUAUAGGAGUUGUGAUUGAUGAUAAAAAGGAUGUGUGACGUUUUCUUCUCUACAUAUAAGAAUAGAUAUUAAGAUAUUUACUAUUCUAAUCCCAUUAGGCCAAUACCCUUUUUUCCAACAUUUUGUUUGAUUCUCACUAUUCUGACCUGCAGGGCUUAUGGAUGAAUAUAGCCAAGGAUCAAUUAUUUUGUUUACUUGGACCCAAUGGAGCUGGGAAAACUACAGCAAUCAAUUGUUUGACAGGAGUAGCACCAGUGACCAGUGGAGAUGGUAAUGAUCUAAGUUAAUAUUCAUUUUUGGUCAGUCUAAGAAAAAUUUAAAGUACUAAACAUUCAACUUUAAAAUAAUGUAUGUUCCUACCCUUUUGACAGCAUUGAUUUAUGGGUAUUCAAUUCGAAGUUCUGUUGGCAUGUCAAACAUUCGCAAAUUUAUGGGAGUUUGCCCCCAGGUGAACUCUCUUUUCUUACUGCUUGUGCAUCAUGCCUAUAUUAUUUUCCGUGUGGAAAGUGUAUCUGCCUUGCCUGCCUACAUUUGCGGUGAAGCAUAUUUUCUACUUCUUUGAUCAGAUGUCUAUUAUUCUGCAAUUCAAGCACAGUUAAGAAUAUAUUCUGAAGCUUAAGGUUUCGUGUUUAUGCAGUUUGACAUCCUUUGGGAUGCAUUAUCCGGUCAGGAACACCUUCACCUGUUUGCUACCAUUAAGGGCAUACCACCAACAUCAGUUAAAAUGGUAUGUCUGUCUUUCUAGUCCAAUUCUUUUUCAUCGGGAGUGAUUGUUUUCAGAAGCAUUGUCCUUGCGUUAGAUCCUCGUUAGAUGACCUCACUGUGUUAGAGUGGCUCUUCUGAAAAUCCUUUAUGUUAACUCAGGUUGUCGAGGAACUACUAGGGAAGGUGAAACUUACUGAUGCAGCUAGCGUAAGAGCCAGGAGCUAUAGUGGAGGAAUGAAGCGUCGGCUCAGUGUAGCGAUAGCCCUCAUUGGUGACCCAAAGAUUGUCGUUUUGGAUGAACCCGUAUGGAAAUUCAGUCUAUUUCAAACUGUAGAUCGCUGUUCCCAAAGUACUAGUUCGUUAACGUUUCUAUAUUCUUUACUUGCAAUUUUUUGAACUACAGACCACAGGCAUGGAUCCUAUAUCUAGAAGGCAAGUAUGGGAUGUAAUACAAGAAGCUAAAAGAGGGCGGGCAAUUAUCUUGACUACACAUUCGAUGGAAGAAGCUGAUGUCUUAGGGGAUCGAAUCUCAAUCAUGGCCAAGGGUAGGCUUAGAUGCAUUGGAACUUCCAUCAGGCUGAAGUCGAGAUUUGGGACUGGUUUUGUUACAAACGUUAGCUUUGGUGAAAUGGCUGGUGGUCAUAGUCCUAUAAAUCAACCUGUAGAUAGUUCUGCUCGUCAUGAGGCAGUGAAACAGUUUUUCAAACAGGUAUGCCUAAUUAAUCAACACAACAGACCAGGCUUACCCAACUUUCUGCUCAGCUUUCUGACUUGUUGUUUUGGUUCGAACAGCAUUUGGAUGCCACGCCAACAGAGGAGACCAAGUCCUUUAUGACUUUUGUCAUUCCUCAUGACAGGGAGAAGCUUCUCACAGUAAGCAGUCUCUUGUCAUCUCCUAAUUUUUAACCGACUUGCUUGUUUCAACUUGGUAGGCUUGGAAUUGAGCCCAUCUGGUAUAUGCAUAAAAGUGUUUUAGACAUAGCAGAUCCAGAUAGAUAAAAGUGUUGGGAUGUCAAAGAUGCAUGAUUUUCUUUAUAAUGUGUUCAGUAAGAACCAGAUCUAGAUGGAAAUUUUCUUGUCAAUCUUGAAAAAUACUCCUCUUCUCUUUUUAGACAUAUCAGACAUGUUUAUGUGUAUGAUGGACUAUUUUUGGCUGACCAUCUCAGUUAAAUUUGGUUGUAUUUGUUUUCUUGCUCCUCCCUGACACUUCAAAAUCCUUCUUUAGAGCGUUUUUGCUGAACUUGAAGAUAGACAAACAGAGUUGGGAAUAAGUGAUAUUCAGCUCGGUCUGGCAACUCUAGAAGAAGUGUUCUUAAAUAUUGCAAGGCAAGCGGAAGUGGAGAGUGCCACAGCUGAGGGGCGUUUUGUUACUCUAAAUUUAACUUCUGGAAACUCACUUGAGGUUAGUAUCGUAGCAAACUACUUAACUAAGCAAGGGAAACCAUAAUUUUUUGUGACAUACUCCUGCUAUGAUACUGCAGAUACCAGUAGGAAUCAGCCUGGUCGGAAUCCCAGGUACAGAAUCCAGUGAAAACCCUAGAGGCCUCAUGGUUAAAGUGUUCUGGGAGCAAGACGACACAGGUGCCCUUUGUGUAUCAGGGCAUUCACCUGAAGUGCCUAUACCUCCUGAGGUCCAGCCAUCAAUGCCUGCAGUUGCAGCCUCAGGAAGCAACUUGUUAGGUAGGAGAGGGCCAGUUUACGGACUUAUUAUCGAUCCCAGUCAGAUUCGCUCAGCUGAUCCAAUAUGAUAUUACACUGGUAGUUCUUGAUUUGUCCAUACCCUCCAGUCAAUCUUCUAGUUGCAGUUGCAGUUGCAGAGUAAUUCUUUUCUGGUGAUAUUAUUUUGUCCACGUAGAUAAAGGAGGUAUACAUGUGACAUGGAAUUAGUAUAGGAGGGCGUCAUUAGAGAAAGACAGGGCUGUAUUAUAGAGAAAGAAGAUGGUUACCACACCACUUGUUUGUUUUUGUUGGCCUGUUAGGCGUCAGAUAUAUACUUUUUUUCAAAGGUACUUGUUCCUAUGUUUACAUUGCAACUGUGAGUUUGUAACGUAUUUUUUUUUAUGAAGUUUGCAACGUAUUCAAUUAUAAUGGAUCGUGAAGGUUUUGGGUUACAUUAUUUUCCUGGUGUGGCAGCGGAGACAUGUCGAGCAAUUCAAUAUGGGUAUGAUCAAGGUCGAUUUAUUAUUGGAGUAGAUGAUAUGUUGUAAGAUUUUUGCUUGAAUUCAAUUACAAACUUAUCUUGUAUAGUUUUUUCAGAUAUAAAUCUGAUUGUCAUGUGGCAAAAGCUGAUUGUAGUGACGGAUGUGGGGCAUCUUCUACUUCACCGCCUAGCCCAUUUUCAUAUCUAAAACUUAAAUAUUAGGCAAUUUUUAUUAUAUUUAUAGGUUGUUUAGUAUAUUUUGUAUAUGUAACUUAAUAAAUUUUAACUCAUUUAUGAUCCAACCUAGUGUAUUAAACCAUCUUAAAUUUGAUGUUAGUUAAAUGAUAAUUUGAAGUCAUUGACUUCCCUUAGGCAAAAUCUUGGCGUAUAAUAAUAAAGGAAUAUGAUUAUAGGUCUUUUUUGUCAUAGAUAGCUCUCGACCGGAAUAAUCUAGACAGCAAGUAACAAGCAAAUAUAAUUUAAGAAUCAACCCAGGCUAUAAGAUCAAUCUUAAAACAGUAUGAGAGAUAUUAAAGAGCCUUUUACUCACUACUAAGUGGACAGCUCCAUUAGCAGACCGUUGAACAACCUGCAUAUGGAGCCGAGGACAAGGAGUCAGGGAGGCAGUGACUGUGAAGUGAUGGCAUUGCUAGGCUUGGCAUCGGAUCGGGGUUCGGCCGAAUACCCUAUAUCUGAAAUCCGCUAAUUUUCCCCGGCGAUUAUCCCCGGAUCCGCCCCGUGAACGGUUUCGGAGUUCAAAUCUAUCCCACCCCGUGGCCGGCGAGUAUCGGACAUCCAACGGGUCAGGACAAUAUCCCCGAAUGCUGAAGCUCUUAAGCUCCGACGGGUCAACCUUUGCCUCUGAAGCUCUGAACGUUUCCUGCACCAACAAUCAAUAAUACAACAAUCAACAGAUUAGAUGAUAACACAAUUACGCAUGUCUGGAAAAUUAGAAUUAUGGAAAUCAAAACUUCAAGUUAAAGGCUUAUAGCAGCAGACUUAUAAAAUUUUCUUUUCAAGACUUCGACAGUAUGAUCGAUUACUCGAUUUUGUAUCAAAUAUCAAACCGAAAAAGAUGAAAGGAUGAGAAAAGAUUAGAGUAGGUAUCAUUGAGAUAUUUAUACUAAACGAAAGCUAUAAAAAAAAAGAAAAGCAAAAAGCUUAACCUGGAGAUUUGAAUUGGCAUCGGGAAUGGCUGAAAACUGCAGAACCGAAGGGUUUCUUGGAGAUACGACGUUGGAUAUUGCCUAAACUAUGAAAGAUUUUGAUGAUUCUCGCCAAUUUUCACUCCAAUCGAGCGAAAAUAAUGAGGACCGAGAGGUUAGGAUUUCGUGCAUGCGCCGUUGGGGGUUUCGAAAUCGGAAAAAGGAAG
This 5490-nucleotide long non-coding RNA is filed under the name Linum usitatissimum (flax). RNAcentral describes it as "long non-coding RNA (LUSI_LNC006692)". Lineage: Eukaryota; Viridiplantae; Streptophyta; Magnoliopsida; Malpighiales; Linaceae. The record is from RNAcentral.